This 214-nucleotide long non-coding RNA is filed under the name Olea europaea (common olive). RNAcentral's name for it is "long non-coding RNA (OEUR_LNC005806)". The record is from RNAcentral. Lineage: Eukaryota; Viridiplantae; Streptophyta; Magnoliopsida; Lamiales; Oleaceae.
UUUUUUACAAGGUGUCCUAUUCUAGACUAAUCCUUGGGUCUGUGAUCCGGCCCCUCUUCACACAGUCCGAUUAAUCGCAGGAUGUGCCUCCAACUGGCCAGGGUCCGAGCGCUCCCCACCUGGUCUGACAAAGUGCCAAGCAAGCCAAUCCAAGUUGCACCUUGCCUUCCAAGAAUAAUCCUUGCCUUCCAAGUUCCCACUUGCCUUCCAAGAA